AGUCAUGUUGGUCAUGUGAUGUCUAGCAGUUCUGACACCAAAUAAAGUGAACUGCAGUUCUUUAAAGGAAAGUUCUCUUUCUUUUAUUGUACAGCGGCUAGGUGGUUAGUUGCAGCUCUGCUAAAAAUAACUAAUUUCCUCAUUUAACUCUGGAAUCACAACUUCAUUUUUUCUUGUUUUUUAGCUGUGGGCUCAUCUGGGAGCCAGUUUCAGUCUGUGAAUAUGCUGACCGACAACAUGUUACUGACAGUUUUCUUUGUUUCAGGUGCUCUGGCUGCUUGUCCUAAAGAGUCAGCCCUAUUCAUUACGGCACCAAAGAACAUGGAAGCACUGAGUGGAUCUUGUCUGCUAAUCCCAUGUAACUUUAGUGAUAAACCAGAAACAGGAUUCAACAGCACAAGAACAACCUUUGGAGUGUGGAUUAAAAAGGACUACAGAUUCAACAACAAUAUAAAUAAUGUUAUUUUCAACAGUAGUGGGCCAGUUACCACCUAUCCAAUGAGUAUUACUGGAGACCUGAGUCAGAAACAAUGCACCACCUUGUUUUCUAGUUUUAUCCCAAAUUACACAGACACAUACUACUUCAGAAUAGAAAACAGGCCAUUUCGGGCAACAGCUGUUUGUGAUCCUCUUCAAAUAACAGUUCAAGGUAAGAGAGAUUUUUGUAUCUUUCUAUAAUGUUG
Molecule: long non-coding RNA, 683 nt
Organism: Etheostoma cragini (Arkansas darter)
Lineage: Eukaryota; Metazoa; Chordata; Actinopteri; Perciformes; Percidae
Exons: 3
Source: RefSeq, a predicted model, not a curated record